AUACGUGGCAGAGCUGGCACUGGAACUCAGGCACGACCUACCCCAGAGUCAACACUGUCCACAGCAUCUCUGCAGGGCACGGCGUGAGCCCCAGUGCAAGGCAGUAACCUCCCUUUUCUGUUUCAGGCCCUGAAGCGCCAGAGCUCGUUGGGCCUUUCCUUCUUUAACAGCAUCUUGGCCCAUGGGGACCUACGCAACAACAAGCUCAACCAGCUCUCCGUCAACCUGUGGCACCUGGCACAGAGGCACGGCUGUGCAGACACCAGGACCAUGGUGAAAACGCUAGAAUACAUCAAGAAACAAAGCAAACAACCAGACAUGACUCAUCUGACGGAGCUGGCCCUCAGACUCCCUCUGCAAACAAGGACCUGACCCCCGGGCCCAUUGGCCAGGCUCUGGGACUCUGGCGCCAAAUCCAGAAAGAUCUGCUCUGCUGCCCUGAACUCUUACUGCAAUUUAGGUUUCUCAUUUUUCUUUUCCUUUUACAUAUGUACAAAUUGGUUUAAGCUUUGGCCUCUAUCCAGGUUAUUCUGACAAUGAAAUGGGAGUUGUCAGAGCAUUAAAAUGCAAUCUUCAUUAAGAAGCAGUCUCUGUGUUGUCUUUGCACAAGUGGCCUUCAGUCUACUCAGCCCAAUCCGACGGGCCUUUUUAGCAAGAGAGAAACAAGAAUGCAAGUAACAUCUUUCUUCUCUGGAAGGUGUUUGUGUUUUCAUAGUUUAGAAAUAAGGACUUUAAAAGUGGACUGCUUUUCAAAGUGCCACUGUUCCACACCCAUUCCAUUCCAGACUUUGUACCUUAAAGUUAGAGCACACCCAAAGUCUGGAACUGUGUUACCUGAACCCCUAUGGAGGAUUUAUAAAAGGCAGAAAUAGCACUCCAUUAACUCUUUUUCCUAUGAAAAGCAGCUCUUGAUUGGACUUAGAAUCUGUGUUGGUGGAUCAAAGGAGAAAGCAAGGUCAAAUUUGAGAUUCUCUGUGGCUUCAGUAUACAGUAACUGAAUAAAUGUCCUGAAGG
Molecule: small RNA, 1014 nt
Filed under: Pongo abelii (Sumatran orangutan)
Lineage: Eukaryota; Metazoa; Chordata; Mammalia; Primates; Hominidae
Description: retained intron
Source: RNAcentral